This is a long non-coding RNA of Anolis carolinensis (green anole), 423 nucleotides long. RefSeq lists it as uncharacterized. The transcript is spliced from 2 exons. NCBI's taxonomy places the organism in Eukaryota, Metazoa, Chordata, Lepidosauria, Squamata, Anolidae. The record is from RefSeq and is a predicted model, not a curated record.
CAGAUUCAGAUUCAUCUUCCCUGCAAAAGAAUGGUAUUUGAUGCAAGUGCACCACGUAUACAAGGUCUUGAUCUCAAAUCUUUCCAAGAUCCAAGCAGAAAAACAGGUAGACAGUACUAAUUUAUAAGAUCCUAUCCUAUGUAACUUUCCCAUGAUUUAGCUUAUUUCAGAUGCAGCAAACACAAUGCAAUUUUUUGCCUUCUUCCUAGGCUUUCCCUCAUUUUUAAGUGUUUGAAAGAAAUGCCGAAGAACAACAUGGAUGAGAGGAAUAUUCAUGUAGGUCAGCAUUGCAAUAGUUGCCACCAAUUUUGCGUUGACUUCCAUCCUGCUCAAUUUUGUUUUCCCAUGGUAUGAUGCACUUUCCUCUGCCAAAUGCCACAAUAUCACACUUUUAGCAUGCAAAUAAAUGCUUGUUUGCUUUCA